CGGUGGAUGAUGUGGAUUAAUUUCGAUGCAACGCGAAGAACCUUACCAGGUCUUGACAUCCCGAUGCUAUUUCUAGAGAUAGAAAGUACUUCGGUACAUCGGUGACAGGUGGUGCAUGGUUGUCGUCAGCUCGUGUCGUGAGAUGUUGGGUUAAGUCCCGCAACGAGCGCAACCCCUAUUGUUAGUUGCCAUCAUUCAGUUGGGCACUCUAGCGAGACUGCCGGUAAUAAACCGGAGGAAGGUGGGAUGACGUCAAAUCAUCAUGCCCCUUAUGACCUGGGCUACACACGUGCUACAAUGGUUGGUACAACGAGUUGCGAGUCGGUGACGGCGAGCUAAUCUCUUAAAGCCAAUCUCAGUUCGGAUUGUAGGCUGCAACUCGCCUACAUGAAGUCGGAAUCGCUAGUAAUCGCGGAUCAGCACGCCGCGGUGAAUACGUUCCCGGGCCUU
RNAcentral lists this ribosomal RNA (450 nucleotides) under uncultured Streptococcus sp. Its description in RNAcentral is "bacterial SSU rRNA". It matches the Rfam family "Bacterial small subunit ribosomal RNA", at positions 930 to 1382 of the family's 1533-position model. Lineage: Bacteria; Bacillati; Bacillota; Bacilli; Lactobacillales; Streptococcaceae. The record is from RNAcentral.